AUUGAACGCUGGCGGCAUGCUUACACAUGCAAGUCGAACGGUAACAGGAGCUUGCUCCGCUGACGAGUGGCGAACGGGUGAGUAAUGCAUCGGAACGUACCCAGUCGUGGGGGAUAACGUAGCGAAAGUUACGCUAAUACCGCAUACGUCCUGAGGGAGAAAGCGGGGGACCGAAAGGCCUCGCGCGAUUGGAGCGGCCGAUGUCGGAUUAGCUAGUUGGUAGGGUAAAGGCCUACCAAGGCGACGAUCCGUAGCGGGUCUGAGAGGAUGAUCCGCCACACUGGGACUGAGACACGGCCCAGACUCCUACGGGAGGCAGCAGUGGGGAAUUUUGGACAAUGGGCGCAAGCCUGAUCCAGCCAUGCCGCGUGAGUGAAGAAGGCCUUCGGGUUGUAAAGCUCUUUCAGGUGGAAAGAAAACGCAUGGGUCAAUACCCUGUGUGGAUGACGGUACCAUCAGAAGAAGCACCGGCUAACUACGUG
Molecule: ribosomal RNA, 482 nt
Filed under: uncultured bacterium
Lineage: Bacteria
Description: bacterial SSU rRNA
Rfam family: Bacterial small subunit ribosomal RNA
Source: RNAcentral